Long non-coding RNA from Astatotilapia calliptera (eastern happy), 476 nucleotides. The record is from Ensembl. NCBI's taxonomy places the organism in Eukaryota, Metazoa, Chordata, Actinopteri, Cichliformes, Cichlidae.
GAUCGUCUCCGUGUGAAGCUCCGUGUGAAGGUGAAGGUAGAAAGUGUGUGUGAGCUGAUUUGGAUUGAGCAGCAUGGAUCAGUGUGAGGACAGAGAGGAGGGAGCCCCUCCCUCUAAAAGAGCCAGAGAGAGCCAGACCAAAGCUCAGAGGAACCCACCUGGACCUCCACCCAGAGAGCAUGACAAGUCUAAAAGCCCUCCCAUAGAAGACCUGCCUGUGUCUGCUGCAGAGAGGACCCAUGGGACUCCAGCUGGACUUGAAGCUGGACCCAGCUGUGUGUCCUUCAAGAGUGACCGGUCUAGACGUCAGCCCAUUGAUUUUAAAGUCCAGCAGGUGUCUGCUGCAGAGAGGUUUGUGGUGGGAGUAAGAGGACUGGGUAGAUCUGGUGGACUCUGUACAUUUCCAUUUGUUUUCUGUUAAAAACACUAAAGUGGACCAGGAGAGCUCAGAGGUUCAACGUGGUCAGACUGCCCAU